Molecule: long non-coding RNA, 1236 nt
Organism: Triticum dicoccoides
Lineage: Eukaryota; Viridiplantae; Streptophyta; Magnoliopsida; Poales; Poaceae
Exons: 2
Source: RefSeq, a predicted model, not a curated record
UCCAAUCCCCAAUUCCUUCUCCUGCUCGUCUCCCAACCAACGGAGCCCAACUCCGGCGCCGAUCUCCUCUGCCCCAGCCACUCGGCCUCGCCGGCGCGGUGGCCUCCUCUCCCCCAUCCAUGCCGCCAACCUCCCUCUCCUUCUCUCCCAUGGCGCCGAAACCCUAGCCACGGCGACCUAGCAACAGCAGGCAGGACGAGCCCGGCCAUGGCCAUGGCCUCCUCUUCCUCUCUGCCCUGCCACGGCCGCCGCUCCAGCCCCACCUCUCCUCUCCUCUUCACUUCUCUCCCAAGGGAGGGGAGGGGAGGGGAGGGGAGGGGAGGGAAGGGAAGCCAAGGGCCCAGAUCAAGCGGAGCGGCGCCCAGAUCCGCCCGCAGCGGCACCGGCGAUCGGAUCCGCGACCCUCCUCGAGGUCGGCCAUGGAGCGCGGCAGCAGCCAUGGACGGCAACGCCCGAAACCCUAGCUAGCCCUCAACCUCCAAGGACGCGCGCCGGCUGCUCUCAGCGGGGAGCACCUCGACGCCGGCCAAAGGCCAUCACCAUCCCCAUCACCAGCAUCCCGCGUGCGUGAGUCAAGGAGGAAAGAGGAGGAGGCCAUCGCCAUGCUCAGAUCCAUAGCUCCUCUUUUCUCUUCAAUUUUGUCAAACUUGAAUGUGAUGAAUAGGGUCAUGAUACUAGUGCUUGAGUCAUGAUACGCACACCCCAAACCUCAUCAUCUUCAUGCUUGCAACUUGUAGGUAAAAACACAUUUUAUUCAAACUAAUUCAGAAUGGUCGUCGGGGGAGAUCCACGGUUGAUCAAUCACAUGGAAUGGAACUAGUACACACUGGAGAGAAUAUAUACGUCAUCUCCCUGUACAAAUUACUCGAAUAGUAAAAAUUGAACUACAGAAUAUAUAUGAACUGAAAUCAACACUUGUUGAGAUAAUUCACAACAGUACAAAUCAAUCCAUGUUAUACCGCUCAUGCUAGCUUAGCUUAGCUUAGCUUAGCUGCUCUCCCAAUAUAUAUUCUGGAUAUGUUAUCUAAUUCGCGCUGUUUUUUUUUUGUUUGUGCAGGCAAUGAAAGCUGCUCCUUCCCCGCCAUGACCACCCUCUCCCUCUCAUGGAAGGUUUUUUGAUUUGAUCUCAAAUUGGCCAUUCUUAUGUGUUAGAGCAGCAGUAGCAGCAGCAGGGUUCCUUGGUGGAUACAGCAGCAGCAGCAGAAAGAGGACACCAUGGUGGGUACAGCAGCAGCA